UCUGGUGCCGAUGGCGAAGAGGUCACACCCGUUCCCAUACCGAACACGGAAGUUAAGCUCUUCAGCGCCGAUGGUAGUUGGGGGCUUCCCCCUGCAAGAGUAGGACGUCGCCAGGC
Molecule: non-coding RNA, 116 nt
Organism: Sporosarcina sp. HYO08
Lineage: Bacteria; Bacillati; Bacillota; Bacilli; Caryophanales; Caryophanaceae
Source: Rfam